UAGCAUAAUCAUUAGCUUUUUAAUUGAAAGCUUGUAUGAAUGGUUAAACAAAAGAAAUUCUGUCUCUUUUCUAAAAAUUGAAUUUAACUUUUAAGUGAAAAGGCUUAAAUUUUUUAAGGGGACGAUAAGACCCUAUAAAGCUUUAUAAUAAAAUAGUAAUUUUAAAAUAAAUUAGAAAUAAAAUAUAUUAUUUUUUAUUUUGUUGGGGCGACUAAGAUAUAAAUAUUAAUAACUGUUAAAGUGAAACACAUAGAUUUAUGAAUUUUUAAAUGAUCCUAAUUAAAGAUUAAAAGACAAAGUUACUUUAGGGAUAACAGCGUUAUUUCUUUUAAGAGUUCUUAUUGAAAAAGAAGUUUGCGACCUCGAUGUUGAAUUAAAAUAUCUUCACAGUGCAGUCGUUGUGAGAAGA
Molecule: ribosomal RNA, 409 nt
Filed under: Stratiolibinia bellicosa
Lineage: Eukaryota; Metazoa; Arthropoda; Malacostraca; Decapoda; Epialtidae
Description: partial large subunit ribosomal RNA
Rfam family: Archaeal large subunit ribosomal RNA
Source: RNAcentral